This is a long non-coding RNA of Nanorana parkeri, 406 nucleotides long. RefSeq lists it as uncharacterized. Lineage: Eukaryota; Metazoa; Chordata; Amphibia; Anura; Dicroglossidae. The transcript has 3 exons. The record is from RefSeq and is a predicted model, not a curated record.
AGGACCAGGGCACAGUGGGGGUGAUUUUUAACGUGGGAACAGAUGAUAUAACUAUCGAAGAGCCAGGGGCCAUUGUGAGUGAUGGGAAGUAUCAUGUGGUGCGAUUUACCCGUAGUGGUGGUAAUGCUACCCUGCAGGUAGACAGCUGGCCGGUGAAUGAGAGAUACCCUGCAGGGAACCCAGAUAGUGAAAGACUGGCGCUUGCCCGUCAGCGCAUCCCCUACCGCCUGGGUCGUGUUGUAGACGAGUGGCUGCUAGACAAAGGUCGGCAGCUCACCAUAUUCAACAGCCAGGCAGCUAUCAAAGUUGGUGGAAAGGACCAAGGACGGCCAUUCCAGGGUCAGAUCUCAGGCUUGUAUUACAAUGGGCUAAAGGUUCUAUCUCUAGCUGCAGAGAGUGACCCCAA